Molecule: RNA transcript, 1683 nt
Organism: Cygnus olor (mute swan)
Lineage: Eukaryota; Metazoa; Chordata; Aves; Anseriformes; Anatidae
Exons: 3
Source: RefSeq, a predicted model, not a curated record
CUACAGGACAGGAUGACGGGACACCGACGGAUGUGGUGAGACGCUCGAGACCCUCAGGCAGAAAGGCAGGGGCUGUCCGUGGUCACAGGGGGAUGCUGCUGUUUGUUCCUUCUCUUCUUAAAGCCAGAUGCACACAGCGAUGGGACCAGACCACGGCACACUCCUGGCCUCUCUCCUCUUGAGAAGUCAGCUGGAGAAGGCCAGGACGGCAGUGACCGCUCCAUCAGGACGACGGGACACGGACAGCCUCGGUGAGUCGCUAGAGACUCUUGGGCAGAGAGGCAGGGGCUGCCCGUGGUCACAGGGGGAUGCUGCUCCGUUUGGUGCUUCUUCUCUUUCAGCCAGAAACACACAGCGAUGGGACCAGACCGUGGCACAAUCCUGGCCUCGCUGCGCUCGACCACUCAGCUGGAAGGAAGAGCUGCCAACGCUCUCCAGGAGAGGUAAGAUCGCCCCAACCCACACCCACCACGUUCUCACAGCAAACAGGACAGUGACACGCUCGGGACAGGAUGGAAGUGACCGCUCCAUCAGGACGACGGGACACGGACAGCCUCGGUGAGACGCUACAGACUCUUGGGCAGAGAGGCAGGGGCUGCCCGUGGUCACAGGGGGAUGCUGCUCCGUUUGGUGCUUCUUCUCUUUCAGCCAGAAACACACAGCGAUGGGACCAGACCACGGCACAAUCCUGGCCUCUCUCCCCUUGAGAACUCAGCAGAAGAAGAUGCCAACACUCUACAGGACAGGUAAGACCCAGAGUUGGACGGCCUUGGUGUGAGGCUGGGAGAGCCUCGUGCAGGGAGGAAGAGAUGGCUUCCAGUGCUGGCAGGGGAUGGCUGCUCGGUUUGUCGCCUCCUCUGUUACAGCUGGACACACUGACAGUGAUGGAAUGAAGCCACGGCACACUCCUGGCCUCUCUCCCCUUGAGAACUCAGCUGGAAAAGGUGUCAACGCUCUCCAGGACAGGUAAGAUCGCCCCAACCCACACCCACCACGGUCCACAGCAAGCAGAAAGGUGACACGAUCGGGCCAGGAUGGAAGUGACUGCUCCAUCAGGACAACAGGACACGGACAGCCUCGGUGAGUCGCUAGAGAUUCUUGGGCAGAGAGGCAGGGGCUGCCCGUGGUCACAGGGGGAUGCUGCUCCGUUUGGUGCUUCUUCUCUUUCAGCCAGAAACACACAGCGAUGGGACCAGACCACGGCACACUCCUGGCCUCUCUCCCCUUGAGAACUCAGCUGGAAGGAAGAGCUGCCAACGCUCUACAGGACAGAUAAGCGAUCCCCAACCCACACCCCACCACGGUCUCACAGCAUGCCAGAAGAUGACAUGGUUGGGCUAUGAUGGGCAUCUCCUGGCUGUCACGGAGAUGCGAGAUGGACGGCCUUGGAGCGAGGCUGGGAGAGCCGCACCCAGGGAUGCAGGGGCUGACCCUGGCAGCGGUCUGGGGCUACUCUUUUUGAUCAUUUUCCUUUCUCACCCCAUCACAAACCCCUCGAGCACACCAAGGUCUGCCACUGUCCUUUCCCUGCUCUGCCCAAUCCCCCCGUGGCCACUGACCUGAAGGCUGGUGCAGCUUUCUACAAGCACAGCCACCGGAGGAGCAGGAAGCACACAAGGACCCCGUCUCUACUCGGCCAUGGUCCUACAAGCACACCAACGGGCCCCACGGCUAUGGACAAAG